CCGUCCAGAUAUGCAACGGUAUAUUCAGUGCCUGACACGUGGCUAGGCAAGCCUACGUAUUCCUUCCGGUGCUUGGUUCAGGCUAUGUGCUUGGCUAGGUCCGGUAGGUCUGGUGUAAUGCCAGAGCGAUAUGACCAAAACUGUACUCUGGACUUCAGGGUAUGGAGGUCGACACGAUAUCCAAAUGUGGUAUGAGCGUGAAGGCAAUAAAUCGUUUGUAGACGACUUAAUGUUUUGUCGGGGAGACGUAAGUGUAAGAGCAGCUAUCACACUGCGAGACACUGAGUCCUAUCCCUACUUGACGUAAUGAUUUGUUGUCACUUGUAAUUCUCAGUGUUAUUUAUUAACGCUCAUUUUGCCUCUCAUCUUGUUCUGCAUGAUAUAUGAGGGGUAACACCCUCAGGUCACAUCCGGUUGCUUGGUCCUACACGAGCAUAGAUGCCCCGGGCCUACAUACUCGAUGAUGACUAUCCUAAUGCUUAGACCAUUGCCGUGUUCUUACUGACCUGCCUCGGGCCUCGGCCUGUGGUUGGUGCGGCUAUUGGCUUGUACCCGUGUGUGAUGGUAGACGCCAUGUUUGGCCUGCCCCCUCCUCACGGAUGCUCAAAGUCGGGUGUGGGGCGAGUUGCCUCACAUACGCGACGGGACGGCUGCUCGCUUUUGGGCGGAGGGCUGGUCCUUUGGGGCUAGUCAUUCGUUCAUGAGUGUGGCGUGUCUCCUUUGAUAUGAAUAAUCCGAUUGGCUUGUCCUGUAAGCCGGGCGACCGGUGCAGGUUGCUUUGGUGGUGCAUGGUCGAUGUUCGCUUGCAGAAACUGCUAUUGGUGGGAAAGUGACGCCCAGGGCAGCGUCUCUCCCUGUACAACACAUGUGGUGGUGCGCAUGUGGUGCUAACGCUCCGUGAAACCGCGACACGGUUAAGCGGCAUGCACGUAUUUAUGAUCCUGUGCCCCGACGGCUUCGGCUGAACGGGUUGAGGACGGUGUGAAU
RNAcentral lists this unclassified non-coding RNA (987 nucleotides) under Fasciola jacksoni. Its description in RNAcentral is "partial non-transcribed intergenic spacer". The stretch from base 1 to 315 matches the Rfam family "Eukaryotic large subunit ribosomal RNA", at positions 3142 to 3401 of the family's 3401-position model. Lineage: Eukaryota; Metazoa; Platyhelminthes; Trematoda; Plagiorchiida; Fasciolidae. The record is from RNAcentral.